RNAcentral lists this ribosomal RNA (1662 nucleotides) under Candidatus Phytoplasma citri. RNAcentral describes it as "Candidatus Phytoplasma aurantifolia contains 16S-23S intergenic spacer region". The stretch from base 1 to 1455 matches the Rfam family "Bacterial small subunit ribosomal RNA". The record is from RNAcentral. Lineage: Bacteria; Bacillati; Mycoplasmatota; Mollicutes; Acholeplasmatales; Acholeplasmataceae.
UUCGGGUUUUAGUGGCGAACGGGUGAGUAACACGUAAGCAACCUACCCUAAAGACGAGGAUAACCAUUGGAAACAGUGGCUAAGACUGGAUAGGAAGAAAUAAGGCAUCUUUUUUCUUUUAAAAGACCUAGUGAUAGGUAUACUUUAGGAGGGGCUUGCGCCAUAUUAGUUAGUUGGUAGGGUAAUGGCCUACCAAGACGAUGAUGUGUAGCUGGACUGAGAGGUUGAACAGCCACAUUGGGACUGAGACACGGCCCAAACUCCUACGGGAGGCAGCAGUAGGGAAUUUUCGGCAAUGGAGGAAACUCUGACCGAGCAACGCCGCGUGAACGACGAAGUACUUUGGUAUGUAAAGUUCUUUUAUCAAGGAAGAAAAGCAAGUGGUGAACCAUUUGUUUGCCGGUACUUGAUGAAUAAGCCCCGGCUAAUUAUGUGCCAGCAGCCGCGGUAAGACAUAAGGGGCAAGUGUUAUCCGGAAUUAUUGGGCGUAAAGGGUGCGUAGGCGGUCUAGUAAGUCAGUGGUGUAAUGGCAACGCUCAACGUUGUCCGGCUAUUGAAACUGCUAAACUUGAGUUAGAUAGAGGCGAGUGGAAUUCCAUGUGUAGCGGUAAAAUGCGUAAAUAUAUGGAGGAACACCAGAGGCGUAGGCGGCUCGCUGGGUCUUAACUGACGCUGAGGCACGAAAGCGUGGGGAGCAAACAGGAUUAGAUACCCUGGUAGUCCACGCCGUAAACGAUGAGUACUAAGUGUCGGGUUAAACCGGUACUGAAGUUAACACAUUAAGUACUCCGCCUGAGUAGUACGUACGCAAGUAUGAAACUUAAAGGAAUUGACGGGACUCCGCACAAGCGGUGGAUCAUGUUGUUUAAUUCGAAGAUACCCGAAAAACCUUACCAGGUCUUGACAUGUUUUUGCGAAACGGUAGUAAUAUCGUGGAGGUUAUCAGAAACACAGGUGGUGCAUGGUUGUCGUCAGCUCGUGUCGUGAGAUGUUAGGUUAAGUCCUAAAACGAGCGAAACCCUUAUCGUUAGUUGCCAGCACGUUAUGGUGGGGACUUUAACGAGACUGCCAGUGAUAAAUUGGAGGAAGGUGAGGAUCACGUCAAAUCAGCAUGCCCCUUAUGACCUGGGCUACAAACGUGAUACAAUGGCUGUUACAAAGGGUAGCUGAAACGCAAGUUCUUGGCCAAUCCCCAAAAACAGUCUCAGUCCGGAUUGAAGUCUGCAACUCGACUUCAUGAAGUUGGAAUCGCUAGUAAUCGCGAAUCAGCAUGUCGCGGUGAAUACGUUCUCGGGGUUUGUACACACCGCCCGUCAAACCACGAAAGUUGGCAAUACCCCAAAACGGUAGCCUAACUCGUUUAUCGAGAGGGCGCUGUCUAAGGUAGGGUCGAUGAUUGGGGUUAAGUCGUAACAAGGUAUCCCUACCGGAAGGUGGGGAUGGAUCACCUCCUUUCUAAGGAAACCAAUAAAAUCAAUCAUCUUCAGUUUUGAAAGACUUAGGAUAACUAAGUUUUUCUUCGUGACUUCACGAAGGGCCUAUAGCUCAGUUGGUUAGAGCACACGCCUGAUAAGCGUGAGGUCGGUGGUUCAAGUCCAUUUAGGCCCACCAGAGUUAUAGGUGUCGUAAGAACACAAAUUCUUUGAAAAUUAGGUAAAUAAU